This is a non-coding RNA of Truncatella angustata, 109 nucleotides long. The record is from the annotation of a RefSeq genome assembly. Lineage: Eukaryota; Fungi; Ascomycota; Sordariomycetes; Amphisphaeriales; Sporocadaceae.
GGCACUUUGGCGGAGUGGUUAACGCGCUGCCCUGCUAUCUUCUGAUCUCAUCAAGGAUAUCGGUCAGGCAGUUCCCUCGGGAGCGUGUGUUCGAAUCACACAGGUGUCG